UUUAAAGAGAGUUUGAUCCUGGCUCAGGACGAACGCUGGCGGCGUGCCUAAUACAUGCAAGUCGAACGAACGGAGGAAGAGCUUGCUCUUCCAAAGUUAGUGGCGGACGGGUGAGUAACACGUGGGCAACCUGCCUGUAAGUUGGGGAUAACUCCGGGAAACCGGGGCUAAUACCGAAUGAUAAAGUGUGGCGAAUGCCACGCUUUUGAAAGAUGGUUUCGGCUAUCGCUUACAGAUGGGCCCGCGGUGCAUUAGCUAGUUGGUAGGGUAAUGGCCUACCAAGGCAACGAUGCAUAGCCGACCUGAGAGGGUGA
This 314-nucleotide ribosomal RNA is filed under the name Listeria monocytogenes. Its description in RNAcentral is "bacterial SSU rRNA". It matches the Rfam family "Bacterial small subunit ribosomal RNA", at positions 1 to 303 of the family's 1533-position model. The record is from RNAcentral. Lineage: Bacteria; Bacillati; Bacillota; Bacilli; Caryophanales; Listeriaceae.